GACGAACGCUGGCGGCGUGCUUAACACAUGCAAGUCGAGCGGAAAGGCCCUUCGGGGUACUCGAGCGGCGAACGGGUGCGUAACACGUGAGUAAUCUGCCCUGCACUCUGGGAUAGCCUUGGGAAACUGAGAUUAAUACCGGCUAUGUUCAUUUCCCGCAUGGGAUGGUGGUGGAAAGUUUUUCGGUGCGGGAUGUGCUCGCGGCCUAUCAGCUUGUUGGCGGGGUAAUGGCCUACCAAGGCUUCGACGGGUAGCUGGCCUGAGAGGGUGACCGGCCAGACUGGGACUAAGAGACGGCCCAGACUCCUACGGGAGGCAGCAGUGGGGAAUAUUGGACAAUGGGCGGAAGCCUGAUCCAGCAACGCCGCGUGAGAGAUGACGGCCUUCGGGUUGUAAUCCUCUUGCAGCGCAGACGAGGCGCAAGUUACGGUAUGUGCAGAAGAAGGACCGGCCAACUACGUGCCAGCCGCCGCCGUAA
RNAcentral lists this ribosomal RNA (478 nucleotides) under uncultured bacterium. RNAcentral describes it as "partial 16S ribosomal RNA". It matches the Rfam family "Bacterial small subunit ribosomal RNA", at positions 28 to 523 of the family's 1533-position model. The record is from RNAcentral.